UCGAUAUUGAUAUUUAGCUACUCCAGAUCCAUCGACUCCAACAUCAGAUUAGACACUAGUAGCAAUAGAUUGGUGCUAGAGGAAGGGGUUCCAGCUCAAUUUUCUGAAAAAGGAGCACAUAGACCUACAACCAUGAGAUCUCGAGGAAGGGGAUCAAAUGCCUUGCAUCUUUUGAAUGUGACGGCAUCUUGGCCGGCUAAGGUGUAACCUUAGCUAAUCGAGAUACCUCCUUAGGUCAUAGUAUCACCCCAUCAACCCAAGAUCUAGUCUCCACCACCCCAACACACUCUAAGGGUGGCCCUCAAAUAG
Molecule: long non-coding RNA, 309 nt
Filed under: Elaeis guineensis (African oil palm)
Lineage: Eukaryota; Viridiplantae; Streptophyta; Magnoliopsida; Arecales; Arecaceae
Description: long non-coding RNA (EGUI_LNC018345)
Source: RNAcentral